Molecule: long non-coding RNA, 2473 nt
Organism: Drosophila simulans
Lineage: Eukaryota; Metazoa; Arthropoda; Insecta; Diptera; Drosophilidae
Exons: 3
Source: RefSeq, a predicted model, not a curated record
UGCCAGGGGCAUGUCGGAUCUGGAUAGAUAAGCGCACAUAUGUGCACACCCCCCAUUCGGUGUGUGAUGGUGUGUAUCUCUGGCUAGCCCAAGAUCUGCCAGAUAGUAAAUUACUUUCUUUGUACGCGGACGUGUCGCGUCUGCGGCUUUAUUGCCCGGCGCGAGGGUGUAUAUAAAAAUGCAUAUCCCUUGGAAUGGAUUUUACAACUUCUAAAAAAGAAAAAGGGUAAAUUUCCACGAUAAUACGCUGAGCUCGCUGACUCAAACGGGCUGCUACUGGUUUUAGAUUAAAAUUGAAUGGUGAUGUGGACUUGCUCCGCGGGUAACCCGGUAACCAGGCGUUGGGGAGUGGGCCAAAUCGCCGUGCCCGCCUGAGAUUAGACAGGAAUACCAAAUAUUUACCAAAUGCGAUCAGUCAAGGUUAAGGCGUGACACAUGCGUGAUGUACAUGGGCCUAUAAAUUAAUACUAAAUUCCCUAAGCGCCAGCCCAGAAUCGAAUUUUCGAAAAUGUCCAACCAAGUUAGUUGGCAUGGCCAUAUCCGAUCCGGCAAUGACUAGCAGGCAAAUCAAGUUAAAGUUCAACACAAUCAAAUAAAUAAAUAGAAACAGCCAAAAAAGCGCGUCAGAUGUGUACGCCAUUUUAUUGGAUUUAAUGCACAUUAAUGGGCGCACAAUGGCUAUGAUAUCAUCGCUGGAAUUGUGCGCCAAUUACUCGACUGCACUUGCACAAAGGCAACCAUUUCCAGCGAAAUAUGUUGUAAGCAAUUACUUACGUCUGCUGCAGGGUCGAAUGUAGGAGGUAAAUUCAAUUUGCAGAAACCUACAAAACGCACACAACGUGACUUCGGCUUUUCGGUAAUCUUUUACGGAGCUAAUCCCUUGUAAGGGAGGAUAGCCUUCAAAAAACGUAGGGAGCAGCAAUAAGAGCUCACUAUUAUUAGGUGUAGUACAAAAAGGACAGCUUAAAAUGGCAGCAAGCCCCAAAUAAAUAAUAAAUAAAAUACACAUGACGUUAGUACUGAUAACACUAUGAAGAUAAAUUCAAAUCGUUUAGCUGGGAAAGCUAAACUGAAUUAAUCGAAAUAAUGUUGGAUACUUGAGAUUAGUAGUCUAUAUUAAUCUUGUAUUACCUAAUACAUGUUACAGUAAUGCCUUCCCAUUCUGUGAAUAGUUAUAUUCCGACGUGUUCUAUAAUUAGUUAUAGUCUGACGUAUUAGCUACCAUACGGAAGCCAAUAGUAAAAUAAUAAAGAUUAAAAAUAAAGGGAUGAACAAUGUAACCGUAGCCAUAAAACAAAAGAUAAAAUCCGAUUUAAAUUCGUGUGUAAAGUACUUAUGUGUGGAAUUUACUAGCCAAACUAACUCAUAGAUAGUGGCCAGUGUCAGCCGCAAUAUAAAACCAGGCCACUGUAACUAUGACGCUGGGAAAAAAACAGAAAACAAAAUGCAAAAUAAAUGCCACAAAGUGCGGCAAAAUUUAAUUAUUUUUAUACCGACGAGCAAAGUGAAAACCAGGCGAAAAUGAAAAACCGAGUUUAGCAUAUGCAAAAUAAUGCCCAAAAAAGUGGGAGCAGCGCCAUCACUUGACCCUUUUGGUUGGGCUUAAUUUGUCUGGGAACCGCAACUGUUUUGGCCUUAUGACUUGACGCCCAAAAUAAAUGCUUAACUCUGGGGAAAAGCCACGCCCACCCAACCAACAGUCUUUAGCCCUUUUGAAGUCAGCGAAAUGCUUGUGCAGUUAGUGUUUCGAAAUUUUCCCAUUUCCGUCUGCAACUGCAGCUCGAUUUGCUCAAAGCGCCGUGCAGUUGCCUUGACUUUGGCUCAGUUUUUCUUGUAAGCUUUUUCAUUUCUAUACCCUGUAUUUAAAAAGUUUAGGGGCUUAACUAAAUUUCAAAAAACUUAAACAACCUAUACCGCCAAAAUACAGCCAUAGUUCAAUAUUAUUAGCCUACUUUGUUGUAAGAUUCUCUUUAGUUAUUUUGUUAGUUUGUCUAUCUUUUCCUUUACCCAAUUUACCUUUUAAGAAGUAUCUUAAAGUCGCAAUCUCCUCCAUUCCAACUAUAUAUCUUUAUAGUUGUUGUGUGUGUUUUGUGCUGUGCACACUUGAGCCAAUUUAACGCUUCCGUGUGUUUUUUACUUGCCACGCCUCGUUGACUGAGUACUGAAGAACAUUUCGCGGAGGAAAAAAAUUCUUUAAUUUCUACCUAAACGCCGAAAACACAAUUCCGAAAUUAGCACACUGCCAUGCGAACUUCAAUUAAUCGAGUUAAGUAAUCGCAGGCGUAUUUCUUGGCAGACAGAACUAUUCAGUGCCAUUGAUUACACGGCCCACAAAUUAAGACCAAUUAAAUCAAAUCCAAAUUCGGACCCAGGGACUAUCCAUCGCCCACGCAAGUCGUGGCCUUGAACUUGCCAGCUACCAGCAUCCAUUAGCCAGAAGCCAGACUCUGUUUUAAUAUCUUGCUCUGCCUUU